AACGAACGCUGGCGGUGUGCUUAACACAUGCAAGUCGAACGAGCUCUUCGGAGCUAGUGGCGGACGGGUGAGUAAUACAUAGAUAACCUGCCUUAAAGUGGGGGAUAACUAGCCGAAAGGUUAGCUAAUACCGCAUAAUGUAGUUAAUUGUAAUAUUAACUAAGAAAGGAUUUAUUCGCUUAUAGAGGGGUCUAUGGUUGAUUAGCUAGUUGGUGGGGUAAGAGCUCACCAAGGCGACGAUCAGUAGUUGGUCUGAGAGGACGACCAGCCACACUGGGACUGAGACACGGCCCAGACUCCUACGGGAGGCAGCAGUGGGGAAUUUUGGACAAUGGGCGCAAGCCUGAUCCAGCAAUGCCGCGUGAGUGAAGAAGGCCUUCGGUUGUUAAGACGUCUUUCUAGUUGUAGAGAAAGAAUUAGUAACUAAUAAUU
This 432-nucleotide ribosomal RNA is filed under the name uncultured bacterium. Its description in RNAcentral is "bacterial SSU rRNA". It matches the Rfam family "Bacterial small subunit ribosomal RNA", at positions 29 to 468 of the family's 1533-position model. The record is from RNAcentral.